This 697-nucleotide long non-coding RNA is filed under the name Salvator merianae (Argentine black and white tegu). Its description in RNAcentral is "lncRNA (ENSSMRG00000000775.1)". Lineage: Eukaryota; Metazoa; Chordata; Lepidosauria; Squamata; Teiidae. The record is from RNAcentral.
CAUAUACAGCUUAACCAGAUCUACAACCGCAGUGACAUGCGGCCAAAUUUUGUGGGCUGUAAAGUGAAGAACUUCAGAUCUACAGGCCAGAUGGAUCAAACAGUUGUCGAUUCCACCUGCACAUUUCUAGUGGGCUUCAACCCAAGGACUUUGGAAGCAGCUGAAGUAUAUGACAUAUUUAAGAACAAGACUGACGGUGCCUCAGUGUUGGGCCAAUAUCCCCUCGACAGUGAAAGCUUGUUAGUUGACGGCUACCCUUUAACGGAGAUUCCAGUAGAAAACAGAAACGGUAAGCAAUGCUCUGUUGUCUCAGCAGCUGGUCCAGACCUGAGAAUCCUGCAAGUGGGUUGUCCCAAGUGACCAUCACCCUUCGGAGCUGGUCCUAGGGAUCAAUCCAUCUUUCUGAUUUCCCAUCAUGCCCCAGAGCAAUACAAAAGUCACAUGUUCUGAACCCAAAUGGUCCUCACAGUAAGGGAAGUUUGGUGGAACUGAUUAUUUGAGGAGGCAGUGGAGGCCUGAAGUNGAAGAAUUGGGAAUGCUUUAAUUUGGAUUCACUUAUGGAAGAGAGGAGUAGACUAGAUGACCUCAAGCAACCCUUGCAAUUCUCAGAUUGAAAUGCUCUUCAGUCUGGAACAAUAGGCAUCAGAAUCCAACCACCCUGGAAAAGCUGCCCAACUCUGUUCUGCUGGAUUAUAAC